This 498-nucleotide ribosomal RNA is filed under the name uncultured bacterium. RNAcentral's name for it is "bacterial SSU rRNA". It matches the Rfam family "Bacterial small subunit ribosomal RNA", at positions 9 to 502 of the family's 1533-position model. The record is from RNAcentral.
GAGUUUGAUCCUGGCUCAGAUUGAACGCUGGCGGCAGGCCUAACACAUGCAAGUCGAGCGGUAGAGAGAAGCUUGCUUCUCUUGAGAGCGGCGGACGGGUGAGUAAUGCCUAGGAAUCUGCCUGGUAGUGGGGAAUAACGCUCGGAAACGGACGCUAAUACCGCAUACGUCCUACGGGAGAAAGCAGGGGACCUUCGGGCCUUGCGCUAUCAGAUGAGCCUAGGUCGGAUUAGCUAGUUGGUGAGGUAAUGGCUCACCAAGGCGACGAUCCGUAACUGGUCUGAGAGGAUGAUCAGUCACACUGGAACUGAGACACGGUCCAGACUCCUACGGGAGGCAGCAGUGGGGAAUAUUGGACAAUGGGCGAAAGCCUGAUCCAGCCAUGCCGCGUGUGUGAAGAAGGUCUUCGGAUUGUAAAGCACUUUAAGUUGGGAGGAAGGGCAGUAAAUUAAUACUUUGCUGUUUUGACGUUACCGACAGAAUAAGCACCGGCUAACU